This 253-nucleotide ribosomal RNA is filed under the name uncultured bacterium. RNAcentral's name for it is "partial 16S ribosomal RNA". It matches the Rfam family "Bacterial small subunit ribosomal RNA", at positions 524 to 776 of the family's 1533-position model. The record is from RNAcentral.
UACGUAGGAGGCAAGCGUUGUCCGGAAUCACUGGGCGUAAAGCGCGUGUAGGCGGAUCGCUGAGUCUGUGGUGAAAGCGCCUGGCUUAACCGGGCGAGGUCCAUGGAAACUAGCGGUCUGGAGGCCGGUAGAGGGGGGUGGAAUUCCGGGUGUAGUGGUGAAAUGCGUAGAGAUCCGGAGGAACACCAGUGGCGAAGGCGGCCCCCUGGGCCGCGCCUGACGCUGAGACGCGAAAGCGCGGGGAGCGAACGGG